AGUGAGCGCUGGCGGUAGGCCUAACACAUGCAAGUCGAACGGCAGCACAGUAAGAGCUUGCUCUUACGGGUGGCGAGUGGCGGACGGGUGAGGAAUACAUCGGAAUCUACUUUUUCGUGGGGGAUAACGUAGGGAAACUUACGCUAAUACCGCAUACGACCUACGGGUGAAAGCAGGGGAUCUUCGGACCUUGCGCGAUUGAAUGAGCCGAUGUCGGAUUAGCUAGUUGGCGGGGUAAAGGCCCACCAAGGCGACGAUCCGUAGCUGGUCUGAGAGGAUGAUCAGCCACACUGGAACUGAGACACGGUCCAGACUCCUACGGGAGGCAGCAGUGGGGAAUAUUGGACAAUGGGCGCAAGCCUGAUCCAGCCAUACCGCGUGGGUGAAGAAGGCCUUCGGGUUGUAAAGCCCUUUUGUUGGGAAAGAAAAGCAGCAGGUUAAUACCCCGCUGUUCUGACGGUACCCAAAGAAUAAGCGCCGGCUAACUUCGUG
RNAcentral lists this ribosomal RNA (492 nucleotides) under uncultured bacterium. RNAcentral's name for it is "partial 16S ribosomal RNA". It matches the Rfam family "Bacterial small subunit ribosomal RNA", at positions 29 to 507 of the family's 1533-position model. The record is from RNAcentral.